GGGGAGCCGAAGGGAAACCGAGUCUUAACUGGGCGUUAAGUUGCAGGGUAUAGACCCGAAACCCGGUGAUCUAGCCAUGGGCAGGUUGAAGGUUGGGUAACACUAACUGGAGGACCGAACCGACUAAUGUUGAAAAAUUAGCGGAUGACUUGUGGCUGGGGGUGAAAGGCCAAUCAAACCGGGAGAUAGCUGGUUCUCCCCGAAAGCUAUUUAGGUAGCGCCUCGUGAAUUCAUCUCCGGGGGUAGAGCACUGUUUCGGCAAGGGGGUCAUCCCGACUUACCAACCCGAUGCAAACUGCGAAUACCGGAGAAUGUUAUCACGGGAGACACACGGCGGGUGCUAACGUCCGUCGUGAAGAGGGAAACAACCCAGACCGCCAGCUAAGGUCCCAAAGUCAUGGUUAAGUGGGAAACGAUGUGGGAAGGCCCAGACAGCCAGGAUGUUGGCUUAGAAGCAGCCAUCAUUUAAAGAAAGCGUAAUAGCUCACUGGUCGAGUCGGCCUGCGCGGAAGAUGUAACGGGGCUAAACCAUGCACCGAAGCUGCGGCAGCGACGCUGAUGCGUUGUUGGGUAGGGGAGCGUUCUGUAAGCCUGCGAAGGUGUGCUGUGAGGCAUGCUGGAGGUAUCAGAAGUGCGAAUGCUGACAUAAGUAACGAUAAAGCGGGUGAAAAGCCCGCUCGCCGGAAGACCAAGGGUUCCUGUCCAACGUUAAUCGGGGCAGGGUGAGUCGACCCCUAAGGCGAGGCCGAAAGGCGUAGUCGAUGGGAAACAGGUUAAUAUUCCUGUACUUGGUGUUACUGCGAAGGGGGGACGGAGAAGGCUAUGUUGGCCGGGCGACGGUUGUCCCGGUUUAAGCGUGUAGGCUGGUUUUCCAGGCAAAUCCGGAAAAUCAAGGCUGAGGCGUGAUGACGAGGCACU
Molecule: ribosomal RNA, 918 nt
Filed under: Escherichia coli
Lineage: Bacteria; Pseudomonadati; Pseudomonadota; Gammaproteobacteria; Enterobacterales; Enterobacteriaceae
Description: partial 23S ribosomal RNA
Rfam family: Bacterial large subunit ribosomal RNA
Source: RNAcentral